AGAACUCUGCCUCAGAUUCCUCUCGGUUAUCACAGAUCAUGUUGGCGUGAGUUAGCUUUAUUAGAGGUGAAGGAAAUACGGUUCGAUGUUAGGGAGAAGAUUUUGCAAAUGGUUUGUGUCAGCUAUCUUUUAUCCUCAUCACCAUCUCACCUUGGGAAAGUUGGGCAACAGUCCACAUCUCAUUAUUAAAUGGAGAUUUAGAUUCAGCUGCAUGUUAAUACUUAGUGCUAGACAACCUAACUCACAUUUGCACCUUCAGCCUCCAUUUCAAUGGUAGGAAAAGAAUUCUCUCAAGUAGCCACUUGCUUAAAGAAUCCUUUCAUAUCUUUUGUACUUUCGUUGGUGUAAACAUAAAUGAACAUCACAACUUUCAUUUCAAAUCAGUUUCUUAUUUUGGGUGAGGCAAGUGAUAGAGAAAACCAAAUUUUCUUCA
Molecule: long non-coding RNA, 433 nt
Organism: Vicia villosa (hairy vetch)
Lineage: Eukaryota; Viridiplantae; Streptophyta; Magnoliopsida; Fabales; Fabaceae
Exons: 2
Source: RefSeq, a predicted model, not a curated record